AUUAAUAUACAAAUGGAAAAUUGCUUGAUGAUUUGAAUUAAUAAAUGGUUGUCUUACUGAAAAUCCUGUGAUAUGGUGGACGGACCGAAUACAUAGGGAACCUUAUUGUGAACGUCACCUCAUACCAGACGAGGUAUCAAGAGAUGGUAUUUUUGGCGCUCAUACCGAACAAGGUAUGAGGACGACCCAGUUCACCCUCAUAUCGGAUAUCAAGGGAUGACAUUUUUAGCACUCAUACUAGAUGU
This 245-nucleotide long non-coding RNA is filed under the name Carica papaya (papaya). RNAcentral's name for it is "long non-coding RNA (CPAP_LNC014306)". The record is from RNAcentral. Lineage: Eukaryota; Viridiplantae; Streptophyta; Magnoliopsida; Brassicales; Caricaceae.